UGCUGUUAGUGAUGAUUUAAAAAAAAACAGAUGGGAAUCUCUCUGAAAAAGAAUGAAGAUUUUAUUUUAUAACUGAAACAGUA
RNAcentral lists this small nucleolar RNA (83 nucleotides) under Myotis davidii. RNAcentral's name for it is "Small nucleolar RNA SNORD79". It matches the Rfam family "Small nucleolar RNA SNORD79". From Rfam's summary of the family: snoRNA U79 or Z22 is found in intron 7 of the gas5 gene in humans and is also present in mice. Lineage: Eukaryota; Metazoa; Chordata; Mammalia; Chiroptera; Vespertilionidae. The record is from Rfam by way of RNAcentral.